RNAcentral lists this ribosomal RNA (963 nucleotides) under uncultured marine bacterium. RNAcentral's name for it is "bacterial SSU rRNA". It matches the Rfam family "Bacterial small subunit ribosomal RNA", at positions 59 to 1028 of the family's 1533-position model. The record is from RNAcentral.
AAGUCGAGCGAAGCUUUUCAGUAGUUUACUACAGAAAACGACUGAGCGGCGAACGGGUGAGUAACGCGUGAGCAAUCUACCUUAGUUACAGGGAUAGCCCGAGGAAACUCGGAUUAAUACCUGAUAUUCUUUAAAUUUCGCAUGAAAUUAAAAGGAAAGGUCAGCCGAACUAAGAUGAGCUCGCGUUCUAUCAGCUAGUUGGUGAGGUAAAAGCUCACCAAGGCAACGACGGAUAGCUGGUCUGAGAGGACGAUCAGCCACACUGGGACUGAGACACGGCCCAGACUCCUACGGGAGGCUGCAGCAGGGAAUAUUGCGCAAUGAGCGAAAGCUUGACGCAGCGACACCGCGUGUGGGAUGACGGAUCUAGGUUUGUAAACCACUUUCAGGAGGGAAGAAAAUGACGGUACCUCCACAAGAAGCCCCGGCCAACUACGUGCCAGCAGCCGCGGUAAUACGUAGGGGGCGAGCGUUGUCCGGAUUUAUUGGGCGUAAAGAGCUCGUAGGCGGUUCAACAAGUCGGUCGUAAAAGUUCAGGGCUCAACCCUGAAAUGUCGAUCGAUACUGUUGUGACUAGGAUACGGUAGAGGUGAGUGGAAUUCCGAGUGUAGCGGUGAAAUGCGUAGAUAUUCGGAGGAACACCAAUUGCGAAGGCAGCUCACUGGGCCGCUAUCGACGCUGAGGAGCGAAAGCUAGGGGAGCAAACAGGAUUAGAUACCCUGGUAGUCCUAGCUGUAAACGAUGGAUACUAGACGUAGGAACUGGAUUGACGGUUUCUGUGUCGUAGCUAACGCGUUAAGUAUCCCGCCUGGGGAGUACGGUCGCAAGACUAAAACUCAAAGGAAUUGACGGGACCCCGCACAAGCGGCGGAGCAUGCGGCUUAAUUCGAUGAUACCCGUAGAACCUUACCUGGACUUGACAUAUAGGGUCAAGCUAUAGAGAUAUAGUGUGCAUUAGCGCCC